GUUGGCAUAGUUUAAAAAAAACUUUAGGUUGUGAUCCUAACAAUAAGGGUUAAAGUCCCUUUGCUAACC
Molecule: transfer RNA, 69 nt
Filed under: Callionymus maculatus (spotted dragonet)
Lineage: Eukaryota; Metazoa; Chordata; Actinopteri; Syngnathiformes; Callionymidae
Description: tRNA-His
Rfam family: tRNA
About the family: Transfer RNA (tRNA) molecules are approximately 80 nucleotides in length. Their secondary structure includes four short double-helical elements and three loops (D, anti-codon, and T loops).
Source: RNAcentral